This 67-nucleotide transfer RNA is filed under the name Marmota monax (woodchuck). RNAcentral's name for it is "tRNA.Ala". Lineage: Eukaryota; Metazoa; Chordata; Mammalia; Rodentia; Sciuridae. The record is from RNAcentral.
GGUUAUGGCUCAGAGGUAGAGCGCUCGCCUUGCAUGUGCAAGUCCCUGGGUUCAAACCUCAGCACCA